GGGGGGGGGGGGGUGAAAGGAAAGAAAGGACAGUGUGGAUAAAAGGUUUUGAAAUAGCUGUGUGUUUAGCUGUUUAAGUCAUAAAAAUCCCAAGAUUUGUGUCUCCCAAACGCAGCUCUAUUUCAAGAGAAUGGUUGAAAAUACUGAUGUAUCAAAUAAUAUUAAGAGAACUGUAAGUAUCCUAUACAAAAAAUAAUCUACAUUUAAGGGGAAGGGGAAUAAAAAUAACUUUGCUUCCUGAUUAACUAAAGAAAUGAGAACUCAGGAAUUUAAAAAAAAAAAAAAGAAGAGUAGAAAGACCUCAGAAAUCCUUUUAAGUUUUGCGUGAAGUUACCAUGAUGCAAUACAGCUCUUAAAAGAAUCUCAGUGUUUGCUCUUUUUUCUAAAAUGAGGUAAAGCAUAUAGAAAUUUCACUAUUCACAAGAAAUCAUCAUCAGAAAACUGAUAGUGAGGGACUCUUGUUUUUUGUGUGUUUAACUGAUUUCCACUUAAUCAUGAGCAAGCAAUCCUGAGGCAGAUACCAUAACUGUGUGCUCUUCUCUGGACUUUGUCAUCAAACUGAGAGUGUGGCCAUUAUGUGCAUCUAUUUGAAAAUAAGAGUGUGUUGCUGCUAGGCACUGCAUGCUGUCAUAAGGUCCAGCCAUCAUUAUUUGAAAAUUUACAUUUCAUGUUUUCACUUAACAGGUCAGGAUAGUGGCGAUAAUAGUUCCAAAGCAAAAGCAGGCCAAGAAAUGCAUUCAGAAACUAGUUCUUCACCAAAUGAAAGAAGUCCUCCCUUCUCAAGGACUGAAACCAGGAAGGGAAUGGUAGCUGCUAUAAAAUCCAAAGCUUUCUGGGGCGAAUCUGAAGACAGCAGCUCCGAGAUUGAGGCUGCUUUGCGCCCACAAACUCACAGCACAGAAGCAGACGAAUUUGAUGACUUCUAUGAUUAAGAUUCCCCUGCUCGCUUUUGGGAAGAAAUAAGCAAUAUCGUCUUGUGCAUAUUGAGAGUGCCACUGUUUAAAGUGCAGCUU
Molecule: long non-coding RNA, 1013 nt
Filed under: Buteo japonicus
Lineage: Eukaryota; Metazoa; Chordata; Aves; Accipitriformes; Accipitridae
Description: lncRNA (ENSBJAG00000009778.1)
Source: RNAcentral